UACGGAGGGUGCAAGCGUUGUCCGGAAUCACUGGGCGUAAAGGGCGCGUAGGCGGCCCGGUAAGUAGGGGGUGAAAUCCUGCGGCUUAACCGCAGGGCUGCCUUCUAAACUGUCGGGCUCGAGCACGGUAGAGGCAGAUGGAAUUCCCGGUGCAGCGGUGGAAUGCGUAGAGAUCGGGAAGAACAUCAGUGGCGAAGGCGGUCUGCUGGGCCGUUGCUGACGCUGAGGCGCGACAGCGUGGGGAGCAAACAGG
This 253-nucleotide ribosomal RNA is filed under the name uncultured bacterium. RNAcentral describes it as "partial 16S ribosomal RNA". It matches the Rfam family "Bacterial small subunit ribosomal RNA", at positions 524 to 776 of the family's 1533-position model. The record is from RNAcentral.